UACGAAGGGUGCAAGCGUUACUCGGAAUUACUGGGCGUAAAGCGUGCGUAGGUGGUUUGUUAAGUCUGUUGUGAAAGCCCCGGGCUCAACCUGGGAAUGGCAAUGGAUACUGGCAAGCUAGAGUGCGGUAGAGGGUAGUGGAAUUCCCGGUGUAGCGGUGAAACGCGUAGAGAUCGGGAGGAACACCAGUGGCGAAGGCGGCUACCUGGUCCAGCACCGACGUUCAGGCACGAAAGCGUGGGGAGCAAACAGG
This 253-nucleotide ribosomal RNA is filed under the name uncultured bacterium. RNAcentral describes it as "partial 16S ribosomal RNA". It matches the Rfam family "Bacterial small subunit ribosomal RNA", at positions 524 to 776 of the family's 1533-position model. The record is from RNAcentral.